AAUGAACGCUGGCGGCAGGCCUAACACAUGCAAGUCGAACGGAUCCUUCGGGAUUAGUGGCGGACGGGUGAGUAACGCGUGGGAACAUACCCAAAGGUACGGAAUAGCCUCGGGAAACUGGGAGUAAUACCGUAUGUGCUCGAAAGAGGAAAGAUUUAUCGCCUUUGGAUUGGCCCGCGUUGGAUUAGGUAGUUGGUGGGGUAAUGGCCUACCAAGCCGACGAUCCAUAGCUGGUUUGAGAGGAUGAUCAGCCACACUGGGACUGAGACACGGACCAGACUCCUACGGGAGGCAGCAAUGGGGAAUCUUAGACAAUGGGGGAAACCCUGAUCUAGCCAUGCCGCGUGAUCGAUGAAGGCCUUAGGGUUGUAAAGAUCUUUCAGGUGGGAAGAUAAUGACUGUACCACCAGAAGAAGCCCCGGCUAACUCCGUGCCAGCCGCCGCGGUAA
This 449-nucleotide ribosomal RNA is filed under the name uncultured bacterium. Its description in RNAcentral is "partial 16S ribosomal RNA". It matches the Rfam family "Bacterial small subunit ribosomal RNA", at positions 29 to 523 of the family's 1533-position model. The record is from RNAcentral.